GCCUUCAUGGUGUUGUGGUCAGCACGCUCGACGCGUAACCGAGAGGUCCGUGGUUCGACUCCCGGCGAGGGCA
RNAcentral lists this transfer RNA (73 nucleotides) under Stegodyphus mimosarum. It matches the Rfam family "tRNA". Rfam says of the family: Transfer RNA (tRNA) molecules are approximately 80 nucleotides in length. Their secondary structure includes four short double-helical elements and three loops (D, anti-codon, and T loops). Further hydrogen bonds mediate the characteristic L-shaped molecular structure. tRNAs have two regions of fundamental functional importance: the anti-codon, which is responsible for specific mRNA codon recognition, and the 3' end, to which the tRNAs corresponding amino acid is attached (by aminoacyl-tRNA synthetases). tRNAs cope with the degeneracy of the genetic code in two manners: having more than one tRNA (with a specific anti-codon) for a particular amino acid; and 'wobble' base-pairing, i.e. permitting non-standard base-pairing at the 3rd anti-codon position. Lineage: Eukaryota; Metazoa; Arthropoda; Arachnida; Araneae; Eresidae. The record is from Rfam by way of RNAcentral.